CGCUGGCGGCGUGCCUGACACAUGCAAGUCGAACGAGGCCGCAAGGCCUAGUGGCGGACGGGUGAGUAACACGUGACCAACCAACCUCGAAGUUGGGAAUAGCUCUGCGAAAGCAGGGGUAAUACCGAAUGUGGCCCGAAGCGGACAUCCGCAUCGGUCUAAAGAUUUAUCGCUUCGAGACGGGGUCGCGGCCUAUUAGCUUGUUGGUGGGGUAACGGCCUACCAAGGCGAUGAUGGGUAGCUGGUCUGAGAGGACGACCAGCCACACUGGGACUGAGACACGGCCCAGACUCCUACGGGAGGCAGCAGUGAGGAAUUUUCCGCAAUGGGCGAAAGCCUGACGGAGCAACGCCGCGUGUGGGAUGAAGACUCUAGGGUUGUAAACCACUGUCGGAGGGGACGAUCGUGACGGUACCCUCCAAGAAAGCCCCGGCUAACUACGUGCCAGCAGCCGCGGUAAUACGUAGGGGGCGAGCGUUAUCCGGAUUUACUGGGCGUAAAGCGCGUUAAGGCGGAUGGUCAAGUUGGCGGUGAAAUUUCGGGGCUCAACCCCGAAACUGCCGCCAAAACUGGUCGUCUAGAGUAUGGGAGAGGAAGGUGGAAUUCCGGGUGUAGUAGUGAAAUGCGUAGAUAUCCGGAGGAACACCAGCGGCGAAGGCGGCCUUCUGGCCCAUAACUGACGCUGUAGCGCGAAAGCGUGGGGAGCGAACGGGAUUAGAUACCCCGGUAGUCCACGCCCUAAACUUUGUGCACUAGGUGUUGGGUGUAUUG
RNAcentral lists this ribosomal RNA (771 nucleotides) under uncultured bacterium. Its description in RNAcentral is "bacterial SSU rRNA". It matches the Rfam family "Bacterial small subunit ribosomal RNA", at positions 34 to 834 of the family's 1533-position model. The record is from RNAcentral.